UGAACGCUGGCGGCAGGCCUAACACAUGCAAGUCGAACGGUAACAGGAAACAGCUUGCUGUUUCGCUGACGAGUGGCGGACGGGUGAGUAAUGUCUGGGAAACUGCCUGAUGGAGGGGGAUAACUACUGGAAACGGUAGCUAAUACCGCAUAACGUCGCAAGACCAAAGAGGGGGACCUUCGGGCCUCUUGCCAUCGGAUGUGCCCAGAUGGGAUUAGCUAGUAGGUGGGGUAACGGCUCACCUAGGCGACGAUCCCUAGCUGGUCUGAGAGGAUGACCAGCCACACUGGAACUGAGACACGGUCCAGACUCCUACGGGAGGCAGCAGUGGGGAAUAUUGCACAAUGGGCGCAAGCCUGAUGCAGCCAUGCCGCGUGUAUGAAGAAGGCCUUCGGGUUGUAAAGUACUUUCAGCGGGGAUGAAGGGAGUAAAGUUAAUACCUUUGCUCAUUGACGUUACCCGCAGAAGAAGCACCGGCUAACUCCGUG
RNAcentral lists this ribosomal RNA (488 nucleotides) under uncultured bacterium. RNAcentral's name for it is "partial 16S ribosomal RNA". It matches the Rfam family "Bacterial small subunit ribosomal RNA", at positions 30 to 507 of the family's 1533-position model. The record is from RNAcentral.